GCUGCCUAGGGUAAAACUGGUAACUAGGGCUAAGUCGUAACAAGGUAGCCGUACCGGAAGGUGCGGCUGGAACACCUCCUUUCUAGAGC
RNAcentral lists this ribosomal RNA (89 nucleotides) under Flavobacterium hungaricum. RNAcentral's name for it is "partial 16S ribosomal RNA". It matches the Rfam family "Bacterial small subunit ribosomal RNA", at positions 1452 to 1533 of the family's 1533-position model. The record is from RNAcentral. Lineage: Bacteria; Pseudomonadati; Bacteroidota; Flavobacteriia; Flavobacteriales; Flavobacteriaceae.